CUUUCAUCUUUCAUUCCUUCAGCGCGCGCCAAGAUCUUUUGGGCCGUUCGUUGUUUCUUUUUUGGACUUGGCCCAACUAUCUCUCGAUUCGAUUUUGCGCCUUCGAUAGCCUCCUGGUAAAACCAAAACUAUACGCAUCCUCUACAGCUCUCGAAACGCUUUUCUGCUUCGACAUAGGGAGUUCUCGACACCAACUUUGAAAGUUUUAUUUUGAUACUAUAACCUCCAAAAUAAAUAUUGGACCCACCAAUUAUAUUU
Molecule: long non-coding RNA, 258 nt
Filed under: Trifolium pratense (red clover)
Lineage: Eukaryota; Viridiplantae; Streptophyta; Magnoliopsida; Fabales; Fabaceae
Description: long non-coding RNA (TPRA_LNC009328)
Source: RNAcentral